UACGUAGGGACCAAGCGUUGUUCGGAUUUACUGGGCGUAAAGGGCGCGUAGGCGGCGCGGUAAGUCACUUGUGAAAUCUCUGAGCUUAACUCAGAACGGCCAAGUGAUACUGCAGUGCUAGAGUGUGGAAGGGGCAAUCGGAAUUCUUGGUGUAGCGGUGAAAUGCGUAGAUAUCGAGAGGAACACCUGCGGCGAAGGCGGGUUGCUGGGCCGACACUGACGCUGAUGCGCGAAAGCCAGGGGAGCGAACAGG
Molecule: ribosomal RNA, 253 nt
Filed under: uncultured bacterium
Lineage: Bacteria
Description: partial 16S ribosomal RNA
Rfam family: Bacterial small subunit ribosomal RNA
Source: RNAcentral